This is a long non-coding RNA of Hydra vulgaris (swiftwater hydra), 365 nucleotides long. RefSeq lists it as uncharacterized. The record is from RefSeq and is a predicted model, not a curated record. Lineage: Eukaryota; Metazoa; Cnidaria; Hydrozoa; Anthoathecata; Hydridae.
GAAAACAGAAGUAAAUUAGGCAGGCUGUUUAAAAGUGUGUAAAUAUUCCGUAAACUUGUGAUGUGGUCAUACACUGCGAACUAUAUGAUAUUGGUCAUACACUGCAAACAUCGUCGAUAUGUCGAUUUUAUACGGUAAAUCCUGACAAAGUACGAUUGAGCUAACAAUUUAAACAUGCGACAUUGUUCAACGAAGUCAUAUAUAAAACUUUGGUGGAAUUAAAGUUUUCAUAAGAUUUAAAAUGAACGAAAUUAAUUACAAUAAUUUUUUAUUCUAAAUGUUUUCAUAUCUUACAACAUAAAUAUUUUACUAGUUUUAAUGUACAAAACGUUUUGAAGGAAAAUAAAUAAUUACGGUUUGUCUUU